UCUCAGACAGUAAAGAAUCUGCCUGCAAAGCAGGUGACCCAGGUUCGAUCCCUGG
Molecule: transfer RNA, 55 nt
Filed under: Capra hircus (goat)
Lineage: Eukaryota; Metazoa; Chordata; Mammalia; Artiodactyla; Bovidae
Also listed under: 1 other name
Rfam family: tRNA
About the family: Transfer RNA (tRNA) molecules are approximately 80 nucleotides in length. Their secondary structure includes four short double-helical elements and three loops (D, anti-codon, and T loops).
Source: Rfam by way of RNAcentral